Molecule: non-coding RNA, 93 nt
Filed under: Candidatus Omnitrophota bacterium
Lineage: Bacteria; Pseudomonadati; Candidatus Omnitrophota
Description: Omnitrophica WOR c-di-GMP sequence
Rfam family: c-di-GMP-I riboswitch aptamer
About the family: GEMM was predicted in a large-scale screen for bacterial structured RNA regulatory elements. Genes associated with GEMM are involved in a diverse array of functions, including chemotaxis regulation, signal transduction, secretion and chitin.
Source: RNAcentral
ACUUGAUCAAGGUAAACUAUCCGUAAGGAUGGGACACAAAGCUACAGGGCCCCCGCGCAUUCUUGCAGAAUGCAAGAGCGGGGGGUUGCCAGC